Molecule: long non-coding RNA, 205 nt
Filed under: Brassica napus (rape)
Lineage: Eukaryota; Viridiplantae; Streptophyta; Magnoliopsida; Brassicales; Brassicaceae
Description: long non-coding RNA (BNAP_LNC024341)
Source: RNAcentral
UCAGUACACGGACAGUCCACGGGAAGGGCCAGCAUGCUGAUAUAUGUGGUCAGCAUGCUGAUAUGAGUUCAGUACACGGAUCAGUACACGGAUCAGUACACGGACAGUCCACGGGAAGGGCCAGCAUGCUGAUAUGUGUUGUCAGCAUGCUGAUAUGAGUUCAGUACACGGAUCAGUACACGGAUCAGUACACGGAUCAGUACAC